This 69-nucleotide transfer RNA is filed under the name Trachypithecus geei. Its description in RNAcentral is "tRNA-Ala". The record is from RNAcentral. Lineage: Eukaryota; Metazoa; Chordata; Mammalia; Primates; Cercopithecidae. RNAcentral also lists the same sequence under 2 other names.
AAGGGCUUAGCUUAAUUAAAGUAACUGAUUUGCGUUCGGUUGAUGCAGAGUGUAGUUCUGUAGUCCUUG